This 253-nucleotide ribosomal RNA is filed under the name uncultured bacterium. RNAcentral's name for it is "partial 16S ribosomal RNA". It matches the Rfam family "Bacterial small subunit ribosomal RNA", at positions 524 to 776 of the family's 1533-position model. The record is from RNAcentral.
UACGUAGGGGCCAAGCGUUGUCCGGAUUUAUUGGGCGUAAAGAGCGUGUAGGCGGCUGGGUAGGUCCGUUGUGAAAACUCGAGGCUCAACCUCGAGACGCCGAUGGAAACCCCCCAGCUAGAGUCCGGAAGAGGGGAGUGGAAUUCCUGGUGUAGCGGUGAAAUGCGCAGAUAUCAGGAAGAACACCCGUGGCUAAGGCGGCUCUCUAGUACGGUACUGACGCUGAGACGCGAAAGCGUGGGGAGCGAACAGG